Molecule: ribosomal RNA, 456 nt
Filed under: uncultured bacterium
Lineage: Bacteria
Description: bacterial SSU rRNA
Rfam family: Bacterial small subunit ribosomal RNA
Source: RNAcentral
UACGGGAGGCAGCAGUGGGGAAUAUUGCACAAUGGGCGAAAGCCUGAUGCAGCUAUGCCGCGUGUAUGAAGAAGGCCUUAGGGUUGUAAAGUACUUUCAUCGGGGAGGAAAAAACAAAACUAAUAAUUUUAUUUCUUGACGUUACCCGAAAAAGAAGCACCGGCUAACUCCGUGCCAGCAGCCGCGGUAAUACGGAGGGUGCUAGCGUUAAUCAGAAUUACUGGGCGUAAAGAGCACGUAGGUGGUUUUUUUAAAGUCAGAUGUGAAAUCCCUGGGCUUAACCUGGAACUGCAUUUUGAAACUGAAAUACUAGAGUAUCGUAGAGGGAGGUAGAAUUCUAGGUGUAGCGGUGAAAUGCGUAGAUAUCUGGAGGAAUACCUGUGGCGAAAGCGGCCUCCUAAACGAAUACUGACACUGAGGUGCGAAAGCGUGGGGAACAAACAGGGAUUAGAUACC